GUGUGAUCUCCAUUAUCUUCCACUUCUGUAAUUUUCUUCUUUCAAUUUUACUUUUCCUUUUCAUUUUGCUUACUUUUUCCACCUUUUCUUCCUGCCCCUGUCUCUUUUCAGCAGGGUCCAGUCUGCUUUUAAUUGUGAAUUUCAUAGUCCUGGGUUUUAUUUUAUUUUCCAUUUUUUUAAAAGCUCUUCCAACUUCCUGUCUGUCUAUUUCCUUCCCUCCCACCCCCCAUUUAAUGAUUUUAAAUAAGAUUUUUCUUUCCUAAUGGUGUCUUCUUUGAUACUUUGUUUUAGAGGACUAUGCUUUCUUUGUCUUGAUAUGGAAGUUUCUAAAAUUAUUUUUGUACUUCAUGACCUAUUUCAUUAUGGGGAGUGUGGGGUUCUUAAUCUGCCUUCUGUUUAUCAAAUUCUUUUUUUUUAAAUAUACACAAUUUAUUUUCACAUACAGAAUAAAUAAUAAUCCAGCCUUCAGUUUCUGCAUUGAGGUUUUUUGGGAUUUCAUGGGUUUCCUAAAUUAAAAAGUAUGUUCUUGUUUAUCAAAUUCUUUACCUACUUUUUUCUUAUAAAAUCUUAUCAUGAACCCCAUUCUGAUUCACUUUGUCACCUUUGAAUAGAUGUAAUUCACUCUGGAUCAUUUAUCAAAAGAGUAUGUGUGCGGAAUUGUUCCCAGGCUGGGGCCUUCCAACUCUAAGUCACUUUGGCCCAUGCCGACCAGUUCUCAUUGGAUGGAACCUGUUCUUACAGAUUUUAUGGUUAGGGGGAAUUAUCCUCACCUCCCUGUGUUCUGAGACCUGUUUGGAGACAUAAG
This 805-nucleotide long non-coding RNA is filed under the name Marmota monax (woodchuck). Lineage: Eukaryota; Metazoa; Chordata; Mammalia; Rodentia; Sciuridae. The record is from RNAcentral.